AGCGAACGCUGGCGGCAGGCUUAACACAUGCAAGUCGAGCGGGCGUAGCAAUACGUCAGCGGCAGACGGGUGAGUAACGCGUGGGAACGUACCUUUUGGUUCGGAACAACACAGGGAAACUUGUGCUAAUACCGGAUAAGCCCUUACGGGGAAAGAUUUAUCGCCAAAAGAUCGGCCCGCGUCUGAUUAGCUAGUUGGUGAGGUAACGGCUCACCAAGGCGACGAUCAGUAGCUGGUCNGAGAGGAUGAUCA
RNAcentral lists this ribosomal RNA (252 nucleotides) under uncultured bacterium. RNAcentral describes it as "partial 16S ribosomal RNA". It matches the Rfam family "Bacterial small subunit ribosomal RNA", at positions 29 to 306 of the family's 1533-position model. The record is from RNAcentral.